RNAcentral lists this ribosomal RNA (238 nucleotides) under uncultured bacterium. Its description in RNAcentral is "partial 16S ribosomal RNA". It matches the Rfam family "Bacterial small subunit ribosomal RNA", at positions 15 to 236 of the family's 1533-position model. The record is from RNAcentral.
GAUCAUGGCUCAGGAUGAACGCUGGCGGCGUGCCUAACACAUGCAAGUCGAGCGAGAAACUUAUGACGGAAGCUUCGGUUGAAGUCAUGGGUGGAAAGCGGCGGACGGGUGAGUAACGCGUAGGCAACCUGCCCUUUGCAGAGGGAUAGCCUCGGGAAACCGGGAUUAAAACCUCAUGAUGCCGUGUGAAGACAUCUUCAUAUGGUCAAAGAUUUAUCGGCAAAGGAUGGGCCUGCGU